UAAAACGUAGGUACCGAGCGUUAUCCGGAUUUACUGGGCGUAAAGCGCGUUCAGGCGGUUUGGCAAGUCGGGCAUGAAAUCUCUCGGCUCAACCGGGAGAGGUUGUCCGAUACUGCUGGACUUGAGGGCAGUAGAGGGUGGUGGAAUUCCGGGUGUAGUGGUGAAAUGCGUAGAUAUCCGGAGGAACACCAGUGGCGAAAGCGGCCACCUGGACUGUACCUG
This 222-nucleotide ribosomal RNA is filed under the name uncultured bacterium. RNAcentral describes it as "partial 16S ribosomal RNA". It matches the Rfam family "Bacterial small subunit ribosomal RNA", at positions 521 to 742 of the family's 1533-position model. The record is from RNAcentral.